Paramuricea clavata is the source of this 487-nucleotide non-coding RNA. NCBI's taxonomy places the organism in Eukaryota, Metazoa, Cnidaria, Anthozoa, Malacalcyonacea, Plexauridae. The record is from the annotation of a GenBank genome assembly.
UAAGAGUCCCCAAAUGACGUUCUCGUUGUUCUUGUUGUUCCUACCGUUCUUCCUGUUCUUGCCGUCCCUAGCAUUCUUUCUGUUCUUGUUGUUCCUACCGUUCUUCCUGUUUUUGCCGUCCCUAGCGCUCUUCCUGUUCUUGCCGUCCCUACUGUUCUCGCUAUUCUUGUUGUUCUUAGCGUUCUCGCUGUUCUUGUUCUUCCUACCGUUCUCCCUGUUCUUGUUGUUCCUACCGUUCUUCAUGUUCUUGUUGUUCCUGUUCGUCCUGUUCUUGUUGUUCCUACCGUUCUUCAUGUUCCUGUUCUUCCUGUUCUUGUUGUUCCUACCGUUCCAACAAUUACUUUAAUAUACAGAGCUUGUACUUGCGCAUGCGCAUAACGUGGAAAACCGUACAUGACCACUGUCCAUGACAUACACGAAAUGGAGGACAACAAUGCACUCACUGUUUGCACUCCGCUAUGUUUUCACAUACCCGGGUAUAAUUGAC